Molecule: ribosomal RNA, 253 nt
Filed under: uncultured bacterium
Lineage: Bacteria
Description: partial 16S ribosomal RNA
Rfam family: Bacterial small subunit ribosomal RNA
Source: RNAcentral
CACGAACUGCGCAAACGUUAUUCGGAAUUACUGGGCGUAAAGGGUGCGUAGGUGGUUGAUUAAGUUAUCUGUGAAAUUCCUGGGCUUAACCUGGGACGGUCAGAUAAUACUGGUUGACUCGAGUAUGGGAGAGGGUAGUGGAAUUUCCGGUGUAGCGGUGAAAUGCGUAGAGAUCGGAAGGAACACCAGUGGCGAAGGCGGCUACCUGGCCUAAUACUGACACUGAGGCACGAAAGCGUGGGGAGCAAACAGG